Fundulus heteroclitus (mummichog) is the source of this 1871-nucleotide long non-coding RNA. RefSeq lists it as uncharacterized. The transcript is spliced from 4 exons. The record is from RefSeq and is a predicted model, not a curated record. Lineage: Eukaryota; Metazoa; Chordata; Actinopteri; Cyprinodontiformes; Fundulidae.
AGUAAACACGAACCUAAACAAGAAUCCAGACUAGACAGAACUCAAAAUAUUACAAAAAUUUCCAUUAAGGACAAUGAUAACAAAAGUAUCUUGGCACACAUACAGACACAGCCUGCGAACCGCCUUACUGUGUAGCUGAACCUCGUGCGUGUUUGUCUGGCAUGUUUCCUAAUGUUUUGCUUUGUUAUCAUUGCAAGCUUUGUGGUGCUCUGCAUGAAUGAUUUGACCACACCUGAGCUAUUCAACUGUUCUUAAUGGCAGGUAAACACUAUCACAGACAAUUAGUCUGUCUAACACAGUCCUGUCCUACAGCGUUCCAGACCACAUAUAUUUUAAAAUUAGUUUGAGCCUUUGAGAUGUUGUUAUUUUGUAUAGACCAUAAUGAAACAUAAGUAUCAUUGCUAAACUAUACGAUCAUAUAUCAAAAUAAGUCUGCCCAAUAGGAGAAGGUACUCUAUACAUACAUAGAUUUUAUAAGUUCAAAGUUGAUGCUCACAAUUAAAAUGUGAUCUGAAUCCACAAUAACCUAAAAACACAUUGCUUAGUGCAUGCUACGCUUCAUCACCAAAAGUCAAGUAAAAAAAUAUUUUAAAGCAUAUCCCUGCUAAUCCAGCUGAAAGGUACACAAACUGCAUACCUUUGCAUACAAUAAAGCAUUGUUAAACUUGACACCUAACAUUUUCACAGCAUCAUUUUCCUCCCCUCGGCCCCACCAAAAAGUUUCUCUUAAUUGCAGGGUUUUGAAAGUGGAAUGUUCCCUGCCAAAUGCCAGUCAAAGAAGACAAAAAGCUCCAAGAUGAAUAGCAAGGGUGUUUUCACACUGCCACAUGUAAACAAGUGUCUGCAUGUAUAUACGGCAGGCACAGUGUUGUGUGUUCUCCACACUGUAGGACAAGGCAUACAGAACAGUCCCUGAGAAUCCAGAGAUAUUUCGGCUCAGACCCUGAGCUGGUUGACUUUGCUGCACCUCUACUUUCCUGCCACAAGGUGUGUUGACAGAGAAUGAGCUUCAGAUCCAUAGACAUGUUUGGCUUCCAACUGUGCCUGAUUGGAUUCUGCAUGCUGACAAGUGCAGCUGGAACACACCAGGCUUUUACCAGUUCUGCAGAGAUGAAUAUUUCUUCAUGCCCCAUCACCUACUUUGGCAAGAAAUACGAGAAAGUAUUUGAUCCGGCAUGCUAGGAGGACUGCGUGGUGAGGGAUAAGGACGCUUGGCCAGCCUGAAGACCUAUCUUCAGUCCACCUACAUUGAAAAAAAGGGGAGUCCUAGAACCUGCUCCUGGCUGAUCGGAUCCGAAUCAAAGAAAAUUCUGUGAUGAUUUCUGAGUGAGACACUACUCUAAACCAUUUUAUUGUACAUUAACCAUCAUCUCCUAAUACUUGUUUAAUUUUGCAGAGUUGGUGGAGUGGGAACAUCAGCGUGAGGGCCUGACCCUGUCUGGAGAACAGGGCUGGUCUAUUGGCAACAAUAGGACCCGGUCUAUUGGUAACAAUAGGACCAAGCAAGACAAAGGGUUUUGCGGGUGGUCUUAGCAUUUCUACACCUCAUAAAGGAGAAAGCCAGGACGGGCAGACGUGCCGCCUGUGGUAAAAAAAAAUGGGUUCCGGAACCUCAAAGGCCUCGGGGGUGUCUCCCCCUCCUCCAGACUCUCCAAUAUAUAAAAUUAUGGGGGAAAAAGUGGAGAUGAUUGUGUUGAAUGUGCUUUCAUUUGGUAAGAUAAGUUAUAAUAAGUUAUUAUAAGUUUAUAAGUAUAAUAGGUUUAUAAGUCAGUUUAUAAGUUUAUAAGUUAUAAAUCAGUCAAAUAAGGUUAAACAGUUGAUGGAGAGAGACUAGGAAAAAAAGUAAAAAUAAUAUAUAUCUAUAUAUCUAU